UGAAUGUGUAACUAUUGUUUGAAAAAUUUUGUUAAAAUGUCUGUAACUGAGAGGUUGGUUUUGCAUAUUACGAGAGGAUAAAUAGAGUCGAAUUAAAGGUGGUGAAUGUGUGAUCAGUGACCGAGCUUAAGGGUCACCGUUUAAGUGUGUGAGCGCGUGAUGAGUUUGACUGAGGGAGAGAAUGCUGCAGCUCUUUUCCUGAUAUUCCGGUGUUUGGAAAAAUACAUUGAGACACACGAAAGAGAUCCAGGAGGAGACGAGGAAGCGGCUGUCAGAGUGGUGAGACGGGUUGUGGAAACCGAAAGUGAAGUACAACAGAGUAACUGAGGAGGCGGAGCUAGAAAACGUCAUAGGAGGAGGUGAGUGAGUGUGUGGCAGAAUGGGUGACAGGGCGACCUCUGGUG
Long non-coding RNA from Oreochromis aureus, 404 nucleotides. The record is from Ensembl. Lineage: Eukaryota; Metazoa; Chordata; Actinopteri; Cichliformes; Cichlidae.